RNAcentral lists this ribosomal RNA (468 nucleotides) under uncultured bacterium. RNAcentral's name for it is "partial 16S ribosomal RNA". It matches the Rfam family "Bacterial small subunit ribosomal RNA", at positions 28 to 507 of the family's 1533-position model. The record is from RNAcentral.
GACGAACGCUGGCGGCGUGCUUAACACAUGCAAGUCGAACGGAAAGGCCCUGCUUUUGUGGGGUGCCCGAGUGGCGAACGGGUGAGUAACACGUGAGUAACCUGCCCUUGACUUUGGGAUGACUUCAGGAAACUGGGGCUAAUACCGGAUAGGUGCUCCUGCUGCAUGGUGGGGGUUGGAAAGUUUCGGCGGUUGGGGAUGGACUGGGGGCUUAUCAGCUUGUGGGUGGGGUAGUGGCUUACCCAGGGUUAGGCGGAUAGCCGGCCUGAGAGGGGAGACACCGACCAUGGGCCUGAGAGACGGCGCAGUCGCCAACGGGAGGCAGUAGGGGAGAGUAUUGCACAGUGGGGGGGAGCGUGUGGCAGAGGCGCCGGGUGCGUGAUGACGGCCUUGUGGGGGGGAACCGCUUUCGGCUGUGACGAAGCGUGAGUGACGGUAAUGGGUGAAGAAGCACCGGCUAACUACGUG